GAGUUUGAUCGUGGCUCAGAUUGAACGCUGGCGGCAUGCCUUACACAUGCAAGUCGAACGGCAGCGCGGGAGCUUGCUCCUGGUGGCGAGUGGCGAACGGGUGAGUAAUGCAUCGGAACGUAUCCUGGAGUGGGGGAUAACGUAGCGAAAGUUACGCUAAUACCGCAUAUUCUGUGAGCAGGAAAGCGGGGGACCUUCGGGCCUCGCGCUCUUGGAGCGGCCGAUGUCGGAUUAGCUAGUUGGUGAGGUAAAGGCUCACCAAGGCGACGAUCCGUAGCAGGUCUGAGAGGAUGAUCUGCCACACUGGAACUGAGACACGGUCCAGACUCCUACGGGAGGCAGCAGUGGGAAUUUUGGACAAUGGGGGCAACCCUGAUCCAGCCAUGCUGCGUGAGUGAAGAAGGCCUCGG
RNAcentral lists this ribosomal RNA (410 nucleotides) under bacterium enrichment culture clone ALO1_GLFRUDD03GT7M5. RNAcentral's name for it is "bacterial SSU rRNA". It matches the Rfam family "Bacterial small subunit ribosomal RNA", at positions 9 to 420 of the family's 1533-position model. The record is from RNAcentral.